CCUACGGGCGGCUGCAGUGGGGAAUAUUGGACAAUGGGGGCAACCCUGAUCCAGCCAUGCCGCGUGUGUGAAGAAGGCCCUCGGGUUGUAAAGCACUUUCAGUGAGGAAGAACGCCUGGUGGUUAAUACCCAUCAGGAAAGACAUCACUCACAGAAGAAGCACCGGCUAACUCCGUGCCAGCAGCCGCGGUAAUACGGAGGGUGCGAGCGUUAAUCGGAAUUACUGGGCGUAAAGCGCGCGUAGGUGGCUUGAUAAGCCGGUUGUGAAAGCCCCGGGCUCAACCUGGGAACGGCAUCCGGAACUGUCAAGCUAGAGUGCAGGAGAGGAAGGUAGAAUUCCCGGUGUAGCGGUGAAAUGCGUAGAGAUCGGGAGGAAUACCAGUGGCGAAGGCGGCCUUCUGGACUGACAAUGACACUGAGGUGCGAAAGCGUGGGUAGCAAACAGGAUUAGAUACCCCGGUAGUC
This 465-nucleotide ribosomal RNA is filed under the name Vreelandella stevensii. RNAcentral's name for it is "partial 16S ribosomal RNA". It matches the Rfam family "Bacterial small subunit ribosomal RNA", at positions 338 to 795 of the family's 1533-position model. Lineage: Bacteria; Pseudomonadati; Pseudomonadota; Gammaproteobacteria; Oceanospirillales; Halomonadaceae. The record is from RNAcentral.